Molecule: non-coding RNA, 174 nt
Organism: Parasteatoda tepidariorum (common house spider)
Lineage: Eukaryota; Metazoa; Arthropoda; Arachnida; Araneae; Theridiidae
Source: RefSeq, a predicted model, not a curated record
UUAACCAAUAGAAGAUACUUUGGAUUAAAAUAUUGAUAAAGGUCCUGUUCCAGGUAUGUUUCGACUAAAGAGCAGUAGAACUUCCAUGACAUGGACACUCUUUCUAUUGUUUUUGUUAACGGCGCAGUUGCAAGAAGGAGAUGCGGUUACGAGUCUCAAGCUUAAAAAGAUUCU